This 465-nucleotide ribosomal RNA is filed under the name uncultured bacterium. RNAcentral describes it as "partial 16S ribosomal RNA". It matches the Rfam family "Bacterial small subunit ribosomal RNA", at positions 28 to 507 of the family's 1533-position model. The record is from RNAcentral.
GACGAACGCUGGCGGCGUGCUUAACACAUGCAAGUCGUACGGUAAGGCCCUUUCGGGGGUCCACGAGUGGCGAACGGGUGAGUAACACGUGAGUAACCUGCCCACAACUUUGGGAUAACGCUAGGAAACUGGUGCUAAUACUGGAUAUGUGCUCCUGCUGCAUGGUGGGGGUUGGAAAGCUCCGGCGGGUGUGGAUGGACUCGCGGCCUAUCAGCUUGUUGGUGGGGUAGUGGCCUACCAAGGCGGCGACGGGUAGCCGGCCGGAGAGGGUGACCGGCCACAUUGAGACUGGGAUACGGCCCAGACUCCUACUGGAGGCAGCAGUGGGGAAUGUUGCACAAUGGGCGCGAGCCUGAUGCAGCAACGCCGCGGGCGGGAUGACGGCCUUCGGGUUGUGAACCGCUUUCAGCAGGGACGAAGCUUUUUGUGACGGUACCUGCAGAAGAAGCACCGGCUAACUACGUG